GUAGCCAUAAACCUUGAUGGUAACUUUACUUCCCCCAUCCGCCUGGGAACUACGAGCACCAGCUUAAAACCCAAAGGACUUGGCGGUGCUUUAGACCCCCCUAGAGGAGCCUGUUCUGGAACUGAUAACCCCCGUUAAACCUCACCACCCCUUGUUAAUACCGCCUAUAUACCGCCGUCGUCAGCUUACCCUGUGAAGGUAUAACAGUAAGCAAAGCUAGUAAAACUCAAAACGUCAGGUCGAGGUGUAGCGAAUGGGUUGGGAAGAAAUGGGCUACAUUUUCUCUUGAGAAUAUACGAAUGGUGUGUUGAAACACCCACCUAAAGGAGGAUUUAGCAGUAAGUGGUAAAUAGAGCGUCCCACUGAAACCGGCCCUGAAGCGCGCACACACCGCCCGUCACUCUCCCCUGUUGACUCCCGACUUUCCAUAAAACUUUUAUUAAACAAAGGGGAGGCAAGUCGUAACAUGGUAAGUGUACUGGAAGGUGCAA
RNAcentral lists this ribosomal RNA (491 nucleotides) under Zeus capensis (Cape dory). RNAcentral describes it as "partial 12S ribosomal RNA". It matches the Rfam family "Bacterial small subunit ribosomal RNA", at positions 796 to 1517 of the family's 1533-position model. The record is from RNAcentral. Lineage: Eukaryota; Metazoa; Chordata; Actinopteri; Zeiformes; Zeidae.